UACGUAGGGUGCGAGCGUUAAUCGGAAUUACUGGGCGUAAAGCGUGCGCAGGCGGUUCGUUGUGUCGGUGGUGAAAUCCCCGGGCUUAACCUGGGAAUGGCCAUGGAAACUGGCGAACUGGAGUGCGGCAGAGGGAAGCGGAAUUCCCGGUGUAGUGGUGAAAUGCGUAGAUAUCGGGAGGAACACCAGUGGCGAAGGCGGCUUCCUGGCCUGUUCUUGACGCUGAGGCGCGAAAGCUAGGGGAGCAAACGGG
Molecule: ribosomal RNA, 253 nt
Filed under: uncultured bacterium
Lineage: Bacteria
Description: partial 16S ribosomal RNA
Rfam family: Bacterial small subunit ribosomal RNA
Source: RNAcentral